RNAcentral lists this ribosomal RNA (577 nucleotides) under Sarcocystis rommeli. Its description in RNAcentral is "SSU rRNA". It matches the Rfam family "Eukaryotic small subunit ribosomal RNA", at positions 435 to 1008 of the family's 1831-position model. Lineage: Eukaryota; Apicomplexa; Conoidasida; Eucoccidiorida; Sarcocystidae. The record is from RNAcentral.
CGCAAAUUACCCAAUCCUGACUCAGGGAGGUAGUGACAAGAAAUAACAACACUGGAAAUUUUAUUUCUAGUGAUUGGAAUGAUGGGAAUCUAAACCCCUUUCAGAGUAACAAUUGGAGGGCAAGUCUGGUGCCAGCAGCCGCGGUAAUUCCAGCUCCAAUAGCGUAUAUUAAAGUUGUUGCAGUUAAAAAGCUCGUAGUUGGAUAUCUGCUGGAAGCAAUCAGUCCGCCCUAUUUAGGGUGUGCACUUGAUGAAUUCUGGCAUCUAUUAUUCCUAAUGUGCUGAUGACUUUCAGUAGUCAUCAGUGUUGGGAAUAAUACAGUUACUUUGAGAAAAUUAGAGUGUUUGAAGCAGGCUUAUUGCCUUGAAUACUGCAGCAUGGAAUAACAAUAUAGGAUUUCGGUUCUAUUUUGUUGGUUUCUAGGACUGAAAUAAUGGUUAAUAGGGACAGUUGGGGGCAUUCGUAUUUAACUGUCAGAGGUGAAAUUCUUAGAUUUGUUAAAGACGAACUACUGCGAAAGCAUUUGCCAAGGAUGUUUUCAUUAAUCAAGAACGAAAGUUAGGGGCUCGAAGACGAU